RNAcentral lists this ribosomal RNA (142 nucleotides) under uncultured bacterium. Its description in RNAcentral is "partial 16S rRNA". It matches the Rfam family "Bacterial small subunit ribosomal RNA", at positions 355 to 512 of the family's 1533-position model. The record is from RNAcentral.
UGGGGAAUUUUCCGCAAUGGGCGAAAGCCUGACGGAGCAAUGCCGCGUGGAGGUGGAAGGCCUACGGGUCGUCAACUUCUUUUCUCGGAGAAGAAACAAUGACGGUAUCUGAGGAAUAAGCAUCGGCUAACUCUGUGCCUAG